UGGGGAAUAUUGGACAAUGGGCGAAAGCCUGAUCCAGCCAUGCCGCGUGUGUGAAGAAGGUCUUCGGAUUGUAAAGCACUUUAAGUUGGGAGGAAGGGCAGUAAGCGAAUACCUUGCUGUUUUGACGUUACCGACAGAAUAAGCACCGGCUAACUCUGUGCCAGCAGCCGCGGUAAUACAGAGGGUGCAAGCGUUAAUCGGAAUUACUGGGCGUAAAGCGCGCGUAGGCGGCUAAUUGAGUCGGAUGUGAAAUCCCCGAGCUUAACUUGGGAAUUGCAUUCGAUACUGGUUAGCUAGAGUGUGGGAGAGGAUGGUAGAAUUCCAGGUGUAGCGGCGAAAUGCGUAGAGAUCUGGAGGAAUACCGAUGGCGAAGGCAGCCAUCUGGCCUAACACUGACGCUGAGGUACGAAAGCAUGGGGAGCAAACAGG
This 429-nucleotide ribosomal RNA is filed under the name Pseudomonadota bacterium. RNAcentral's name for it is "Proteobacteria bacterium partial 16S ribosomal RNA". It matches the Rfam family "Bacterial small subunit ribosomal RNA", at positions 355 to 776 of the family's 1533-position model. Lineage: Bacteria; Pseudomonadati; Pseudomonadota. The record is from RNAcentral.